AAGGAAUAUUUUAAUGUAUUUGUAUAAUUAAAGAUAAUUACUCCCCUACCGUGGUGUUGGAUAUAUAUGUAUCUUUAUCUUCUAAAAGAAGUGAAUUUAGAACGUUAAAAAUCCCAGCAUUUUUAUUUUUCGUAAAGGGGGCUGCCGACCUUUGUUUUCCAGCAACUUUAAGAGAUAAAGAGAGGGAUCUAAGAGCUUGAUUCAUGCAAUACUCUUAUAGGGAAAAAUGGGAAAUAACGCAGAGUUGCAAACCUUCCUUUGCUUCUCGUCAAGCUUUCAAGGGAUUACACCAAAGUGAUUCAAGAAGGAUUUUCGAGUAUUCUUCUCUGAGAUUACCAUUCCUUGUUCGCUAUUAACCAGCGGGGUUCUGUGCAAUUAAGAAGUAACUGAGGUUCUGAUGUACAAGAUGACAGAUUUACUCGCUAGAUAAUUGCAGACAUUCAAUGGAGGUGUUGCAAGCUCCAUUUCUAUCUGAAGCUAAAUCUGAUAUCUCGGAAUUAUGUGAUAGUCAUAUGAGAUGUACAGGCUGGUUCGCUUUGUCAAGUUAAGGCACCGUGCACCGGUCCGUCUCACCCAAAUUUGAGGUGCGCCAGAAAGAGGCACAGAAAGAAAUGGCGACAAAGAUAGAGAGAGAGAGAGAGAGGAUACUCAGAUGUGAAGGAAGAAAUUAAGGGAACUGUUGAUUCCUUGCACUAUCCACUCCCUAGUGGCAGCUAAAAGGCCUUUUGUAGCAAUCAAUUUAAGACCACUAACUCCAAUACUUUGUUAUUCUUUCGACAA
This is a long non-coding RNA of Lycium barbarum (goji berry), 780 nucleotides long. RefSeq lists it as uncharacterized. The transcript is spliced from 3 exons. The record is from RefSeq and is a predicted model, not a curated record. Lineage: Eukaryota; Viridiplantae; Streptophyta; Magnoliopsida; Solanales; Solanaceae.